GGAUAGGUUUCUUAAUUUAUACAAGAAUUAAAAGGGAAGUUUGGUGAAAAUCCAACACGGUCCCGCCACUGUAUUAGAGGAGUUAGCACUUGUAGAUCACUGAUUGUUUUUCAAUUGGGAAGAUAGUGCCUAAUGAUGAUCCUUGAGUCAGGAGACCUGCCUAUCCUG
This 168-nucleotide non-coding RNA is filed under the name Bacillus testis. Lineage: Bacteria; Bacillati; Bacillota; Bacilli; Caryophanales; Bacillaceae. The record is from RNAcentral.